CGAGCAGUAGCUCAGUGGUAGAGGUCCCGCUUCGUAUGUGGGAAGACCUGGGAUCGAUUCCAGGCUGCUUGC
Molecule: transfer RNA, 72 nt
Filed under: Toxocara canis (dog roundworm)
Lineage: Eukaryota; Metazoa; Nematoda; Chromadorea; Rhabditida; Toxocaridae
Rfam family: tRNA
About the family: Transfer RNA (tRNA) molecules are approximately 80 nucleotides in length. Their secondary structure includes four short double-helical elements and three loops (D, anti-codon, and T loops).
Source: Rfam by way of RNAcentral